AGUUCCUGAACCUCAACAAACUCAAGAGACAACUGAGUUGCCAACAGUCAGUCCUACUGAGGAGAAUGAGGUAACACUUGAUUCUCCAUAUUAUUUUACUAUUUAGUCCAAACGUCAAAUAUUUCAUUUGCCAGGCAAACCAAAUGCCAGGGCCUUUUAUUUAUUUAUUUAUUUAUUUAUUUAUUUAUUUAUUUAUUCAUUUAUUUAUUCAUUUAUUUAUUCAUUUAUUUAUUCAUUUAUUUAUUCAUUUAUUUAUUCAUUUAUUUAUUUAUUUAUUUAUUUACUCAUUUAUCAAAAUAAAUUAGUAAACCGGUCGUUCUCAUAGGCGAAAUUAUGAUAAAUUGAAUAUAUUUGUAAAGAAAUAUAAAAAUACAUUAAAAUAAAUAUAAAAAAAUUAAUAAAAUAUUUAAAUUUUUACGUUCUUAAUAAAAUACAAAUCAAUGUUUUGAAAGUAAAAAUAUAUUUACAAAGAAAUAUAAAAAUACAUUAAAAUAAAUAUAAAAAUAAAUUAAUAAACCUAAUAAAAUAUUUAAAACUUUGAAAGUAAAACAAAAAAUAAAUUUAAAUCUUCAGAUCAAAAUUAAAUUUAAAAAUAUAGAAAUUGAAAAACAUUUGUAUGGCGAACUUUGAAAUUGAUUUGCGAUUUCACUAUUAAAGCAAUCCGUCGUGCCCUGGCCGGUCGUUCUCAUUAGAAAAUAUUUCACAAAAUGAAAUGUUGCAAGCGGCCGGUUGUUCUCAUAGCCGCUAUAUCCCUCUAUGAAUACGAUGUACUUCAUAUUCUUUUGUAAUAUUAGUGGAUCCAAUAUAGUCCCACGACAUGAAUAUGGUACAUAUAGCUCACCGCUGACCGGGGCGCACCCAGUGGGCGCACCUAUAAUUUCAGUAAUUCCCGCCACUUUCCGCCAUUGUGAUUUGUGUCGCGUUUAUGCAAACACAGAAAUUUUACAACAAAGAGUCGACAUUUACUUAACCUAUUUACAUCGUAAUGCCUCCUAAAAGAAAUCAAGCAUGGGCUGAACUACACAACAAAAUGAAAAGCAAGCGAAGCAAGGAUCAACGAGUAAAGAAGACUGGUUCCGCACCGCAUGAACUAAUCGUGCAGCGUCUGGUAGCCGAACCAGAUCACAAGCAAACGUACGAAGCAGUCCAACCACGAGAGUUUGUGGCCUACGAAUAUGAGGAUUUGACCCUAACAAAUCUUAAAAAAGCUUGUGCAGCUCAUUUUCACCUUCCCGCGAGCUCGUGCGACGUAUUGGUAACGAAUAAAGGGCCUUCUUGUACGAAUAUUAACCAAAUUCCGCACAGGAAGGACAAGGUAUAAAAGACUUUUUUGUAUUUUGUUUUACAUGCGCACCAUCGCACCCAACCCCAAGGGCUUUGGACUCUACCUCUAGAGUCGAAUUGAGAAAUGCUUUACACAAUUUAUUUCUAUUACGUCUGCGAGUACAAAAUGGAAAUAUCAAGAAGGAAAUUAUAAAACAUGUGAUAUCUUCUAUCACAGUGAUGUACUAGCCAGAUGGCGGGUGUGGUUGUGCCCCCCCCCGCCCGCCCCCUCUAGUAAAAUAUUGGGGCCCCUUGGGAAGAUUCAGACCAGUACAAGCAUGUACAUUAUAUUUUCGUUUCUUGUAAUGGAAAUUCAAUAUUUUCCUAUGAUUUUAAUUAAUGCUCUGGAUUUGUUGGUGAUUAAGUGGAGUUGUUAUGUGUUAAAUAGCACAUUGAAAAUGGCACUUUACCCAAUCUAGAAUUCAAACAUUUUCCCGGGGCAGCAUACCCCAGACCCCCCUAAAAUAUUAUGCAUGGAUAGCAUGAGACUCCAAAUACACUUUAUUCGAACUACCACAGGGUAAAAUUGCUUGGGCCCCUCCUGGUCUCCCCCCCCCUCUUUGAAAUUGGGUUGAGGGCAUUUUCAUCCAUGUUGUAUUUGUUGUAUGGUUGUAUGAAGAUUCGCUUGUAGAAUAAUGGUGUUGAAGCACUAAAUUAUUUGGUUAAUAAUUUUCAUGACAUUAAAUUAAUAUUAUCAUUUUCCUUCUAUCAAGUUUACCUUGUGCGGUUUAUGGUCACUGAACAAUUAGGUGAUGGGUAUCCAGAUAGCCCAGAGGUUUCAGAGCCUAAGGAUGUGGUGUUUUCUCAGUCAAUAAAUGUCAGUAAGACACCAGACACCGAGGAAACUCGCUAUCCAAAUUCUGUUUCAAUAGAAUUGUUGCUAAAAGCUGGACAACUUGUAAAACCGAAGGUGAAGAAUCAAGUAUCAUUAAGAUUAGAAAAGUUCCAUCUUGAUGAGCAAGAAUGGGUGUCUUUAGCAAACUCUCUUGAUUUAUUGGUGGAUGGAGAGAAAUUUUCUUCUAGUGGAUUCAGGGAUGCAUUUCUUGGAGUGACAAAAGAUAAAGAAAAAUGGGUAAUCAAGAAGUACCAUGAAAGGGCUGUCAAUACAAUAACAGGUACACUUAAUUCGACUCUUGAAGACCACACACGAAAGCAAGUACAAAUGCAUUCGGUUGCGAGGCAUUUAACUAAAGUGUUUAGCAACAAAGUCCCGCAAGAAUUUGGCGAAUGCUUCACUUUUAACCGAGCUUACUACACGGUUUACCAAGGGCAACUUGCAACUGUAGAAGAAUUUGUGGAAGGAACAUUCCGAAAAUAUGUCAACAACAAUGGAAAAGUGUGUAGACCGGAGGUUGGUUACAGUACUCUAUUUUUUAGUGAAUUUGUCAGUGUCAUAAUGUAGUAAACAUGUAUAUAUAUUAGGGGCCAUUCACAAAGGAAAUACGGCAAAAUGAUAGAUUCCCCCCCCCCCACCCCCUUCCCUUCCUUGUCCGUCCAAUAUUUGUUUAAUACAACAAAAAUAGAUACUUGUGUUUUGAUUUUUUUAAAUCAAACGUCCGGAUCGUUGAAUAGUACCCUCCCCCUAUGUCCGAAUUUGUCCGGAUUUCUCCAACCCCCUCCCCCCCCCCGCCUGGCUCGGACAUCCUUUAUGAAUGGCCCCUUAUGAAGUUGACAUAGAGUUCAGUGACAAAAUCAAAAUACACCAUUUAUAUGUAAUAAAAAAUAUACAACAUAUGGAUACAUAUGACUAUAUAUAACUUUUUAUAUUUGUACAUAUAGGUUUGCAGUGCUGAGAUGAUGACAAUCAUUGAGAAGACUGAAUGCCUAGUGCAUUACUCCCACAUUCAAAGUUCCAAGAAGCUCAUGCUUGUUGAUCUUCAAGGUGCAGGCUACCACCUUUAUGACACAGAAAUUGCAACAAGUGAAUUGCGUGCAGACAGUGGUGAAGCAUACUUUUGUUGUGGCAAUGUUUCCUUCAUAAGUAUUGAAGAAUUUAUGGAUACACAUAUCUGCAACAAGUUCUGUGAUAUGAUCAACACAAUCGAUACAAGCAGCCAAUGAACAAAAAGUUUGGACAGAAUUCUGGGACAGCACAGAUACUAUUUUGAAACUUGGCACUGUUUAGGUUUUAGUCUUCUGUUAAUUUAAAAAAAAACAACGUUUCCAUCUAGGUUAUUUCACAUUAUCAAAACACAAAGCAAUAGCAACAUACAUGUAAAGACAGUAAAACGUAAAAUAGAUUAAAGUUUAUAUAGAUUAAAGGCUGCAAUAUUUCUUAUGUUGCUCAGAAUGGAUGUUUUGCCAUUCCUUGUCUAUUUACAAAUGUUGAAACAAAUCACUACAAAAAUAAAUAUUAAUAUGAAUAUUAAUAAAUAUUAAUAAAAAUAAAUAUUAAUAUUUACAUUUUAUUAUUUACAUUUAUUUAUAUUUAUUAAUACUAAUAUUUAUUAAUAUUAAUAAAUAUUAAUAUUUACAUGUAAUAUGUCUUAUGUUGCUCAGAAUGGAUGUUUUGUCAUUCCUUGUCUAUUUACAAAUGCUGAAACAAAUCACUACCCAGUCGCUAGUUGUAUGUAUACAUGUGUAGCAUUUUUGUAGACUUGUAUAGACAGCAUGCAGGCUACUGUAUACAUCAGGUGCUCUCACUAACUCCUGAUAAACUGGCUGAUGGCUCUUUGUAAUGUGCCUUCAGAAAUAAAUAAGCUGUUGCAGCAUCAUUUGGCUUUACAUCAUUAAUUGCGGGUAUAAUACUUUCACAUUCUUCUCUCACAGCAUGAGUUAAAUAAUCAUCCCCAACACUCAUGACUUCAGAGAGAUUGGCUACCUCAUCAACUGCUUCUUUGCUUACACUGAAACCUGUUAAUCAGAGAUAACUGAAUUUAUAUAAUUAAUGUCGUAUAUGGUAUAUGAAUAUAUCAAGCUAGCAAUUGAACAGUUUUGAUUGAACCAAAUGCAUACAAUACAUACCACAUUGUUCAGCUUCAUAUUGCUCAGGAAAUGCAUAUAAAUGUUUUGGUAUUCCCUUGGGUACCUGAGCAUCCUUCUGGCACCUUACUCUAUGCGAGUUCCAUAUAGUUUCUCUGAACACCUCCAGUUCUUUUCCAAUUAUUGGUAUAUAAACAAAUGCCAACAAAUCUCUGUUAAGGAAAAUAGACUUGCUUAAGGUGGCUCCCUAAUGUUGUGCCUAUUUGCCCAACAUCGUUAUAGUACAGGCGUGUUAAUGCAGAUCGUGCAUUCUUUGGUACUUGGAUCUAAUAUCAGUGGAACAUAUAUGAGCUCUCAGUUUUGACAAUGUCACUGUUGCCAUGGCGACAUGAUGAGCUAUAUUAGCCACAAAAUUUUCUUUAUCUGAAAAAUAAAGUCAGCGGCCUAUCUUUUUUAUUACAUAUAUCAAUAGAGCAUGAUUUUCUGUAACUAUUGAGAAACAUAGACGGAUUUUCAUAUAUUUUACUGGGGUGGUGCCAGAAAUUUUAGGGGGGGGGGGUGAGCCGUGAGCAGGUGACUGAAGCAACACAAAGUGUCACCAAACCCCAGUAAGGUCUAUAUUCUAGGGGUGGAGCACUAGAGCCGCGAGGGGGAGUUUAAAACAAAGAAGCAGAAAAAGGAGCAGAAAACAAAGUAUCCCUGGAAAAAUUUGAAAAAAAUCAUGAUUUCUAGCUACGAAAAAACGUUUUUUGAAGUUGUCAUAUCAAUGGAUUUGGCCUGUCCGAUUGUCUGUUGAGACUUGAGAGAGUUAAAGUUAAAUGAACCUGUAAAAGUGUAAACCCAAUCGGCCAAUACACAAUAUGCUUUUACUUUUAUAAAGUCAUUGACAUUGUGUCGUUUGAAUCAGAGUACAAUUUAUGAUGCAACUCCGAUGUAAAUAAUAUUUGGGGCGUAAAGAUUAAAUCUAGGCAAGACUAUUUCCUAAAAGAAUUAAAAAAUAAAAAUAAUGUUCGUAAAAAUUGCAAACGUUCCUUGAUAGCAAGCUAUUUACAUGACACAAUUGUUCCAAUAAAUCAGUGAAUGCAAGCGAGGAGCAAUUACUUUCAGAGUAUUGCACUGUCCUUUUCUAUUUGAGUGUACUCCUACGUUUAUUUUGUAUCACCAACACUCUGCACGUUGGAGUGGACUAUUUAAUUAUUUUUUAUUAUGCUGAAUAUUGGGGGGGGGGGUGAAAAUGUUUUUGGAGGGCUGGACAUUUUGUUUUGGGGGGGGGUUAUAGCUAAUAUUGGGGGGGGGUAGCAUCCCCUACACCCCCACAAAAUCCGUCUAUGUUGAGAAAGUUUAAAAAAUUCUUUAGAGCGCGCUUUUGUUAAAAGCGAAAAUUUUAUAACAAGAUUUCCACACUAAAGAAUUUUUAAAAAAUUGAAAUAUAUAAAAUUUACUAAAUUUAAAAUUUGUUGUAAAAAUUUGAAGAUAGGCUACCGAUGAAAAUAAUGAGUUUUUAAAUCAAUGGUCUGUUAUUUGCAAUAACCACAUUUAUUACCCACUCACGUACUGGCAAUCUCUGGUAGCAAUAACCAGAAUAGAAUGAAAGCAGCACUACCUAUCAGUUUGAUUGUGCUGAUCAUAGUGGCCUUGCUCUAAUAACUUUAGUAACUGCCUCUUGAAAUACUUUUCAAGACGAUGGUGUAACUCGCGCCACCAACGAUCAAUCUGCAACAAAAAUGACAUUGUACUGUAUUUAUACAUACACUUGCUGUAUAUAAUGUAUAUAUAUAUACAUAUAUAUAUAUAUAUAUAUAUAUAUAUAUAUAUAUAUAUAUAUAUAUAUAUAUAUAUAUAUAUAUAUAUAUAUAUAUAUAUAUAUAUAAAUAUCAAGAAAUCAUAAACUUCAAAGUAAAUAAAUUAUAUUUUACGUUUCGGGGACAAGCCCCUUCUUCAGAAUAACGCUACAUCAUCUCCGUCUCUUGCUUAAAUAGUCUAACGUUUUGCUAUACAUAAAUUAAUUACACCUCUUCCCUUAAAUUAAGCCCACGUGGAACAUAGCUAUUAAGUUUCUCAAUCCAAAAGCUCUCCCUCUCAGUGGGGUUAUUAACGUCCGUGACGUCAAUAACCUGCACUAAAAAAUCACUUAGACCUGAAUGUCCCUCCCCCCAAAAAUGGGCAUAUAAUUGUUGCCCACAAAUAUUUCUCUGCCCCCGCCCAUAUCUAUUUAAUGCACUCUUGUGGUUAUUAAAUCGCAAUCUGAACGGAGUUAUGGUAUUCCCAACAUAUUGCAACCCACAGAAUUUACAACUAAUCAAAUACACUAUACCCUCCGAGUCACAAUCGAAGCGAUGAUUAAUGCAGAAAGACCGCCCCUCAACAUGGCUUUUAAAAGUAGCACCAAUGAUAACAUUGUCACAGAUUUUACAUUUCUUCUUUCCGCACUUAAUAUAUAUAUAUAUAUAUAUAUAUAUAUAUAUAUAUAUAUAUAUAUAUAUAUAUAUAUAUAUAUAUAUAUAUAUAUAUAAUAUAUAUAUAUAUAUAUAUUAUAUAUAUAUACACACUAAACACAAUGCACAUAUAGCUAGGAAGAACAAGGCACAGGGCAAGGGCACUGUCAAUUGCAGUUGUUCGAAAAACACAAUAUGCCCUCUUCAGAAACAAUGCAUGACUAAGGACAUAGUAUACAAAGCAACAGUCACAACAAGCAACCCCAACACGACCAUGAAUUAUAUUGGCAUGACAUCAACUACAUUUAAAGAGCGUUUGGCUAACCAUAACUAUACUUUCGAGCAUAAAGAGCAUUCAAACAAAACUGAGCUUUCGAAAUAUAUUUGGACAUUGAAAGAUAGCAAGAAAGAUUUUAAUAUCAAUUGGCAAAUUUUGAAACGCGCUAUUUCGUAUACGGGAGGAUCAAAACGAUGUAAUUUAUGUUUAGAAGAAAAAUUUUGUAUUUUGAAAGAAAACCAAAACUGUUUACUCAAUAAAAGAAUGGAAAUUAUAUCUACGUGCAGACAUAGGAAGAAAUUUCGCGUAAACAACGCAAACAAUACACUCCCACAACUCGAUUAGGCAUUUCCGCGUAAACAACGCAAACAAUAGAUGAAUGCAUGCUUUGUUUCACCCACACACCCCCACGUUCCGGCCAAAACACAUAUAAGCAGUCCUAUUUUUCGACACUAGUCAUACCGCCUGAUGAUUCUUUACUGAUGAAACAGACUGUUGCGGAAUUUUGAGGUAAGCGAAAUUCUACAUUUGCUCUAUCUUUAUGAUAUUGAGCACUCUUUGCGUUUGGUAUUCAUAAACCUACUCGUACAUAUAUAUAUAUAUAUAUAUAUAUAUAUAUAUAUAUAUAUAUAUAUAUAUAUAUAUAUAUAUAUAUAUAUAUAUAUAUAUAUAUAUAUAUAUAUAUAUAUAUAGUACUAUAUAUAUACUAAUAUAAUUAAAUUACCUUGUUGUUGGUUGAUGGUCCAUAAUCUACAGUGUCUUCACCAUUUUCAUUAUUCUCUUCAUCAUGAUGCUACCUCAGAAAUGCAUGGAUAGUGGCCAUAUGAUCAGUUUCAGUUCCAUUAUCAUUUAUCAAGCCUCAAGUGCUUACUUAUUACUGUUAAAUGAAGAAUAUGAAAAAAUUGCUUUAUGUGGUUUACCAGAUAAUUUAUAAAAAUGUGGCUGUACAAUAUGGUAAACUACUGCUCCUUGAGUGAUAUGAUAAACUAAAAAUACUUUACUGUACUGUACUUCUUGAUCUGUAUAAGUGUUCUAGGUGCCACCGUCCCACCAGCCUUGGGUCCGAGUUAGAGGUCCAAAGCUUCAAAUAUAUAACAUAGUUGCUAAACACGUCUUGUAGCCCAUAUACGGCAAGAGGAAAGGUGCCAUUCAUAAAGCCCAUAAGCUUAUCAUGCCCAUCUGCUGAAUGAGUGUGGUUGGAUCCCUAAAGGGUAGGACAAGAGGACAUUUAAGAUUUAAGAAUUAUCUAUGGGUGCACUGUUUUGGGUGAGUGGUUAUAAUUUAUUACCUGAAAAAACAAAUAGAAACUCGACGUUUCGAGCGAAGGCCCUUCGUCAAGAGUUAGACGGCCCAACGUCGAGUUUCUACUUUUUUUUCAGGAAGUAAUAUAACCACAUUGGUACUACUGUACGGCUGUACCUGCACUGGUACAGACAGUUUUAGUACUGUUUUAUAAGCUUACUUGGGGACCUUUAACAAAUGAUGCUUAAUAAUAUAAAAAAAAAUUUUUGAAGUGGUAUAGUCGCCGUCUAUAUGUAGUAAUUAAGUUUAAAAAUUCCAUACCAACGAUGUAAAAGUACCGGUGGCACCUCUUCUUCGUUUUUUCUCCCCAAUGUUCCCGCGGCGUUCCAGCCCUUCUGGAUCGACAUAACCCAUAAUGUCGUGACUCGUGUACUAGUAGAUCACGGGGUACAGCUAAGUUAUGUUGUUCUCUUAGUUUUCGCCGCAUUGCCCUAUAACCUAGUAAUUGUCCUGGACCCUCUAUCUCUUCACGCACUGCCCUUUCCACGUAUUCGAGCGGUGUAUCGUACCGAACGUACUUGACAUCAUAAAACGCUAACCGUCUGCUUAAAACUCCUAAGCUCCAGGCGUACUGCGCAAAAUCCCGGCGAACAAAAUCCAAAAUCUCUCUAUGUGAUAGGCUUUGUAUAACAUUUCGCUCUAGGAAAGACUUUAAAUCGUCGUCAUUUCCCCAAUCGUUAUUUCUUAUUCCUUCGGCCAUCUUUCUUUUUUUGGGUUACCGCUGUCACAAUUAUCGCGGGCUAUGAGAACAACCGGCCGCUUGCAACAUUUCAUUUUGUGAAAUAUUUUCUAAUGAGAACGACCGGCCAGGACACGACGGAUUGCUUUGAUAGUCAAAUCGCAAAUCAAUUUCAAAUUCGCCAUACAAAUGUUUUUCAAUUUCUAUAUUUUUCAAUUUAAUUUUGAUCUGAAGAUUUAAAUUUAUUUUUUGUUUUACUUUCAAAGAUUUAAAUAUUUUAUUAGGUUUAUUAAUUUAUUUUUAUAUUUAUUUUAAUGUAUUUUUAUAUUUCUUUGUAAAUAUAUUUUUACUUUCAAAACAUUGAUUUGUAUUUUAUUUAGAACGUAAAAUUUUAAAUAUUUUAUUAGUUUAUUAAUUGUUUUUUUUAUAUUUAUUUUAAUGUAUUUUACAUUUCUUUAUAAAUAUAUUCAAUCUAUCAUAAUUUCGCCUAUGAGAACGACCGGCCACCAUAAACAACUAUAUAACUGAUUUUAAUAAUUUCUCAGUGGAUAGCAUAUCCCAGACCCUAUAGGUUUGAGCUGUCGGAAGGUUAGACGAAACAAUUUAGUGAUAAUUUGUGGUAUUUACAUAAACAUAAGUACUUGACUGAAGAUUCUAUCUAUCUAUAGCAUAAUGUAACGUUGUAUAUCCAAAAAUCUGUUUCAGAAAACACACAAAAUGCAGUCCCGGGGUGGAAAAUGCAGACCCCAACCCCCUAGCAUCACGUAAUGCAACAUCACACCAAACAUUUUAUCGCCAACAACCAUCUGUCAUCUUUCCGACUUUCCACACAUAUUAUGGUCACUUUUUGUAGAUGCCCCUCACAGAUGACUUAUUAAAAAAGGUCCCGACCCAAACUCAAUUUAAAUAAGUUCGAACAUUUUAGAGUUAAACCUGCCAAGAUCAAUGAUUAUAUCAAGAUUUACUAUCUCGCAUGUGCAACAAACGGCAUUGUUGCAACUUGCAACAAAAACCAAUUUUAAUGCAUGUUAAAAAUGCUCACACAUAAGUAACCAAACAUGAGACCACAUAGUCGGUAAACAAUUCUUCCUAACAUGAAUUGAUAUCAGUUUUUGUUGGAAAUCAGUUCUACUUAAUAAUGAAAAAGAUCACGAAUGCAAAUUGUUUUGCUUUAAUUUUAUAGGGCAUGGAGUUUCUCUAAAGAAGUGAAGAAUCUACAAUUAAAAGAUGAUGCUUCAAAAAAGUGAAUCAAUGCAAUUUUAUAAUGAUUUAAUACAUUUAUGUACAACUGAACAUUUGUACACGUGGAAGGGCACGUGAUAAUAUAAUCGUAAAUGCUAUGUAUAUGUGAAAUAAAAUAAUAAAAACAUAAUUUGC
Molecule: non-coding RNA, 10315 nt
Organism: Paramuricea clavata
Lineage: Eukaryota; Metazoa; Cnidaria; Anthozoa; Malacalcyonacea; Plexauridae
Source: the annotation of a GenBank genome assembly